RNAcentral lists this long non-coding RNA (632 nucleotides) under Homo sapiens (human). Its description in RNAcentral is "non-protein coding lnc-PRDM1-5:1". Lineage: Eukaryota; Metazoa; Chordata; Mammalia; Primates; Hominidae. The record is from RNAcentral.
AGUUUCCAGAAACUCUGCCAUAUCAUGCAACGAGAACCCCCAGCUCCUAAUUCAAAGGAAAGUCUCAGAGGUCUUGGGUAAAGACGAUAACACCUCUCCUUUGGUGGCUUUCAGUGAUAAACAGCUUCCUGCCUGAGCACUCAUAAACCUGAACUCGUGGAAAAGAAUUACUACACGGAAAACAGAACCCAGGCAGGGUUCGUAAACGGUACCCGGCAUGGGUUUCUCACAUCUUCGUUGAUAAACGUCCUGUUGCCUCCUGAGGAAUCUGUGAGACUCCUUGGGUACAGCUGUGGUCAGGAACACACCAUGCAACAACUAGACCUGAGAAGUGUCCAUCUUUCUGCCAUCGAGACCUGCCCUAGAAGAAAAACAGAAACAACACAGAUGGAGCUGCCUGUUCAAAUCCUUGUGGAUGUCAUAAGAUUAGCAGCUUUCCUCUGAGUCGGCCUCAAAGACUUCCUUUGCAAUUGUUCCUAAGCUAGCUCAAGGGAUAGGCAGUGAAGUUCACUAAAACAAAAACAUAACCUCAAACAUCCAAAACAGCUGGUGGAAAUUGUGACUGUUUUAGAGGAGCUGACUUAUCUAGCUGAGUCAAAACAAGUGUGAGCGCUUCAAACAGGCACAAGAUC